Molecule: transfer RNA, 72 nt
Filed under: Bacteroidota bacterium
Lineage: Bacteria; Pseudomonadati; Bacteroidota
Description: tRNA-Arg
Rfam family: tRNA
About the family: Transfer RNA (tRNA) molecules are approximately 80 nucleotides in length. Their secondary structure includes four short double-helical elements and three loops (D, anti-codon, and T loops).
Source: RNAcentral
GGUUCCGUAGUUCAAUGGAUAGAACGGAAGUUUCCUAAACUUUAGAUUUGGGUUCGAUUCCCAGCGGAACUA